RNAcentral lists this ribosomal RNA (512 nucleotides) under uncultured bacterium. RNAcentral describes it as "bacterial SSU rRNA". It matches the Rfam family "Bacterial small subunit ribosomal RNA", at positions 28 to 526 of the family's 1533-position model. The record is from RNAcentral.
GACGAACGCUGGCGGCGUGCUUAACACAUGCAAGUGGAGCGACGAACCAGGGCUUGCCCUGGGGCAGAGCCGCGAACGGGUGAGUAACACGUGGGUAACCUACCCCGAUGACCGGGACAACCCGAGGAAACUCGGGCUAAUACCGGAUGUUCUCGUAUCUCUCAAGGGUUACGAGCAAAGAUAGCUUCGGCCUUCGCAUCGGGACGGGCCCGCGGCCCAUUAGCUUGUUGGUGGGGUAACGGCCUACCAAGGCUGCGAUGGGUAGCUGGUCUGAGAGGACGAUCAGCCACACUGGGACUGAGACACGGCCCAGACUCCUACGGGAGGCAGCAGUGGGGAAUCUUGCGCAAUGCGCGAAAGCGUGACGCAGCAACGCCGCGUGGGGGAAGAAGGCCUUCGGGUUGUAAACCCCUUUCAGUUGGGACGAAGCUUCGAGGGUUAAUAGCUCUCUGGAGUGACGGUACCUUCAGAAGAAGCCCCGGCUAACUACGUGCCAGCCGCCGCCGUAAUAC